Molecule: ribosomal RNA, 253 nt
Filed under: uncultured bacterium
Lineage: Bacteria
Description: partial 16S ribosomal RNA
Rfam family: Bacterial small subunit ribosomal RNA
Source: RNAcentral
UACGUAGGGGGCAAGCGUUGUCCGGAAUCAUUGGGCGUAAAGCGCGUGUAGGCGGCUUGGUAAGUCCGCUCUGAAAGCCCGGGGCUCAACCCCGGGAGGCGGGUGGAUACUGUCAAGCUUGAGUCCGGAAGAGGCGAGUGGAAUUCCCGGUGUAGCAGUGAAAUGCGUAGAUAUCGGGAGGAACACCUGUGGCGAAAGCGGCGCACUGGACCACAACUGACGCUGAGGCGCGAAAGCUAGGGGAGCAAACAGG